This 100-nucleotide transfer RNA is filed under the name Zygosaccharomyces mellis. RNAcentral describes it as "tRNA-Ser". It matches the Rfam family "tRNA". Rfam says of the family: Transfer RNA (tRNA) molecules are approximately 80 nucleotides in length. Lineage: Eukaryota; Fungi; Ascomycota; Saccharomycetes; Saccharomycetales; Saccharomycetaceae. The record is from RNAcentral.
GUCCCGGUGGCCGAGUGGUUAAGGCGAUGCCCUGCUAUUAACCUCGAUAGCAACUAGGCAUUGGGCUAUGCCUUCGCAGGUUCGAAUCCUGUCCGUGACG